GUCGUUCUGGUUGCAGAUGACACGGUCUGAAUCUGAGAUCUUGAAAAGAAGAUAUAUUUCCACUGAGCUGUGGUGUCUUCCUUACAGUAAUUGCAAAAGGUUCUGAUAGAUGCCCUAAUUAAAUCAUGAGUCUCGAGCCAAGUUUCAAAAGGAAUCCAAUGAUUUAUUAGGAGCAACAUGCCUGCAUCUACUUCUGCCAUCACUGACACAUCAGGAUCUUAUAGGGCUUCUGAGUUCCUUGGAGGAUCUGAAGUUGGACAGCAGAGGAGUCGCCUGGUAGAGUAAUGUUUGUGUUUACACAAUGAGCAAGUGAUCACGCUUGAAAUUCUGGUCACUUCACUUUGAAGACGGUUGCAGAGUUGGAAAACGACAAUUCAAAUUCUUCUCAAAGGAAAGAUUACAAUGCAGCGGUUUCCAACAUUUGGGGCAUCAGGGACCACUUCCGUGGAAAGAGAUUUUUCCAUGGACCGGAGGACCAAAGGACAGUUUCACGUGUUACCUACAUCCCACGGAUUGGGCUUUGUUUGUGUGGACUGGUUACUGGCAUACCACUGACCAGUGGCGGGGUUGCGGAUCCUUGUCUUACAGGACUUGAAGAAGCCUGUUGUGUUUCGUCCAAUCUCACCUCAGCCGGGGUCUUCUUAUCUGCUUCCGAACACGGAGGAAUGUUCUAGUAUGCCUCCCGGCCCCAGCCCUGGCUCCAUGCCCAGACAGGCUGAAGUGGAAGAAAUACCUCCAGCCCCCAGCUCUGGCUCCAUGCCCAGGCAAACGGAGCAACUAGACCCCUCCCCCUCCUCCACAGCAUGUGAGCCUGAGGAAGGUCAAUUGCCAACAGCUGCCGACUGGAGUGACCCUCGCGUCAGAAGACUUGAUAGGCGGAGGCAACAGAAGGAAGGGAGGGGCAGGCCUGGAUAAGUGCUGAGUCAUGGAGCCACACCCCAUGGCCUAUAUAAAGGAUCUGCUUUCUGGCAUUCUCUGAGUCAAGCAAAGUCUAAACAUAUCUUGCUGAAGUCACUUUCUGGUCUCCUGCCUGCCCUGAGGACUUUGCUAGGACUUUGGCAGAGCUGCAGAGGCACACCUGAUUCGGAUUUCCCUGACCCGGCCGUCAGCGGAGGAGUGGGACACGACAAAGCCACAAAUCACUAUCUAAACUAACUUGUUGCUGUGAUUUGAUUCCACCUCUUUUUUUCUUUCUCGCGAAGCACACCUCUGUUCUGAAGUCGCACGGCAGUCUUAUCACCUCCCAUUGGCUGCCUCUCAAUGACGACAGCAGUGUAUUUGCAGUGCAGUUUUCAGUGCCAAUUUUAUGCAGUGGAUUGAAAACAAUCUCCAUGGAUGUUCAAGCUUUCUACAUCAAUGCUGAAGGGGGAGAAGUGAUCUAAUGCAGAACAUAAACUUUGUCUCUCUCGCUGUCCAAGAUUCUUGGAUCGGGUAGAUCAUGCCAGGAUGGUUCUUUUGAUUCCUUCAGCAUGUUCUUGCACAUUGUGUGCCAGGAAAUCUGCUCCCUGUACCAAGCAAGUCGGGCAGUGUAAAGUCAAGAUGGGGCACAAGAAGCAAUCGCACGCGUUGUCAGUGAAACGGAGUUGGCAACGGUCUAAUUAUACUGCUAGAUUAUAUGAACUGCCAUCCUGUUCUGACUCUGAUAGGAAUCACUCUUGAUUGUAUAGCUUUGAGGGAAUAAAUUGUAUCGAAACUCGUUCCAGGAAAAAAGAACAAUAACCCUAUGACACCAUACUCUAGGGAAAGGAUGUGCAUCUUACCGCCUCAGGGCCACAUGUAUUACCCAUUGACUGUACUGCCAAAUUUGUUCCUUAUUGUGUUGAAAUGGAAAACACAUGAAAGCUGUAAUAUAAACCGAAAGCAGCUUAAAAUCCGUCCUUCCUGAACAUCAGAAAAAAACUUUUAUCUGCAUGCAUGACAGAAUUCUAGUUUCUUCUGGUUGUGGCCCAUCUCUUGUAGGCCUGGAUAGCAUUGGCCUACUCAUGCAGAAGAAGAGCAAAAGAAGGAGGGGAUGACAGAGAAUGAUAUGGCUGGAAGGAGUCACUGAAGCAGUUGGUGUGAGCUUAAAUGGACUCCAGGGGAUGGUAGAGGACAGGAAGGCCUGGAGGAAUGUUGUCCAUGGGGUUGCCAUGGGCCGGACACGACUUCGCGACUAACAACAACAACUCAUGCAUGUUGUUAUCAAAGUGAUUAGAUCUACUAACCCAAGUCAAGUACAAAUUUGCAUCUAGGAAAGAGGAGAAACCAGACAGGAAGUAGCUUUCCGGUCCUGUAAGAGAAGAUCUGCAUAUCUUACUUGAUAGAAUAUAAUAGAAUAAUAGAGUUGGAAAGGACCUUGGAGCUCUUCUAGUCCAACUCCCUGCUUAGGCAGGAAACCCUACACCACAUGUGCAUCAAACAUCUGGGAUUAGAACAGGAGUGUCCAGCCUUGAUAACUUUCAAGAACUGUGGACUUCAACUCCCAGAAUUCCCCAGCCAGCCUUUCUGAGAUUUGAAGAUCACAAGUCUUAAGGUUGCCAAAAUCAGAUACCCCUGUAUUAGAGGUUAGAACAGGGGGCGGGAUUUAGUUGAUCUCAGAAAAACUAAACAGGAUUGGAUCUAAUCAGUAGUUAGAUUAUCACAGGUAUAGGCUUCCCUUAGGCAUUAUUGCAAUCAUGCAAAGCUAGCCUAUAAGAAAGAAAUCCCUUUUUGGGGAGGGGACAAUCUGGGGCUCACUGGAAGAAUGUAUCCUUUGCAAAAGUUUCUGGGUCCAGCUUUUAGUAAGUAAGCAGAACCUAAAAGGACUCCUGGCUGAGAAUUGGAGAGCUGCUCCUACUUUAUGUCAACCAUGCAAAGGUACGUAGGGAUAAAACAACACCCUACACUGAAUUGGGCUCCAGAAAUACAUGUUUUAGAGUUCUGUGACUCUUUUUUAAAAAAUCCCCUACUCACACAGAAUCAAAGGUUUCUGACAAAAAGUUUAAACUCUGAUAUCUGUCUUUUUGGGGAGGGGGAGCAAAGCCAAUAGUCUAGGGUGGCAGUUCUGCACAAAUAUGGAUGUUUUUUGUGUGGUUUUCCCUUAGAAUUCCUGGAAGUUGAGCAAUCCUACCCUGAGAGAUGAUAGACUUGGAUUUCUGAGUAAACCCUCCCCUGAGCUUUGAGAAUGUCAUCAUAAACAUACAUCAAGCUGAAAUGAAUCAGAGGAAACCAUUAAAAGUAAAAAAAAUAUAAUUGAAUAGAAACAAAACUCUCUAGUUUAAUUCUAUGCCAGGCAACUUUCAGACCACUGUAGGAAAGGAAGGAAAAGGACUUGGCAAUUUUAUUUUGUUAAAUUAACUUUAUUUUACUCUUUUAAGAUGUUUGCAUCAGUUUUUGCGAAUAUUUAUGAAUGGCCUUGGGUGGUUGGGUAUUGUGGAAUUAAAAAUGAUGGAGGCCAUUUGCUUUUCUUCUUUGUUAAAUCUUAAUUACAAGAUUGAUCACUUCUCUGGUAAUUGGUUUCUGAAUGGGACAAUGGCCUACAUCUCUUUUUGAAACGGCCUCUUUGUUGUAGCUGAAUGGUUUUUGGAAUGGAAUGGAAUGGAAUGGAAUAGAAUAGAAUAGAAUAGAAUAGAAUAGAAUAGAAUGGGGUGAAAUGCUACUGGUUUGCUCCAGUCCAGGUGAACCGGUAGUAAAAAGUGCUUUAAAAAGUAAAAAAAAGGUUCCGAUGAUCACAGCUGUGUGGCGUGAUCGACGGAACCUUUUUAAAAAAACUUUUUAAAGCAUUAUUUUACUACCUAUUCGCCUGAACCAGUAGUAAAAAAAAAAUGCUAAAAGGUAAAAAAAAAGAGAGGUUCUGACUGACAGCUGAUUGACAAUUUUAAAGCGUUUUUUUUACUACCUAUUUGCCCGAACCUGUAGUAAAAAAUGCUUUAAAAAAGUAAAAAAUCAAUCAGCUGUGCUGCGUGA
Molecule: long non-coding RNA, 3924 nt
Organism: Ahaetulla prasina
Lineage: Eukaryota; Metazoa; Chordata; Lepidosauria; Squamata; Colubridae
Exons: 4
Source: RefSeq, a predicted model, not a curated record